GGGCGGUUAGCUCAGUUGGUCAGAGCGCUGCGUUGACAUCGCAGAGGUCAGUGGUUCAAGUCCACUAUCGCCCA
RNAcentral lists this transfer RNA (74 nucleotides) under Chloroflexota bacterium. RNAcentral describes it as "Chloroflexi bacterium (cold seep metagenome) tRNA-Val". It matches the Rfam family "tRNA". From Rfam's summary of the family: Transfer RNA (tRNA) molecules are approximately 80 nucleotides in length. Lineage: Bacteria; Bacillati; Chloroflexota. The record is from RNAcentral.